This 253-nucleotide ribosomal RNA is filed under the name uncultured bacterium. Its description in RNAcentral is "partial 16S ribosomal RNA". It matches the Rfam family "Bacterial small subunit ribosomal RNA", at positions 524 to 776 of the family's 1533-position model. The record is from RNAcentral.
UACGUAGGGUGCAAGCGUUGUCCGGAAUUAUUGGGCGUAAAGAGCUCGUAGGCGGUUUGUUGCGUCGGCUGUGAAAUCCCGAGGCUCAACCUCGGGUCUGCAGUCGAUACGAGCAAACUAGAGUGUUGCAGGGGAGACUGGAAUUCCUGGUGUAGCGGUGAAAUGCGUAGAGAUCGGGAAGAACAUCGGUGGCGAAGGCGCUCUACUGGACCACAACUGACACUCAGGGACGAAAGCUAGGGGAGCGAAUGGG